AGUUUUGUUGUUUUACUACAUUUGAUCAUAGUUAAUAAGACGUCCUACCCUAGACAAAUGUUGCAAGUAACCAGCGACCAGCUUACGAAGUAUUUCAAUAUUCAAUAGCUCCGUGACGGUUUGAAAACAUACAUUUCAUACAGCUAGGUGAUUUAGAAUGCAAAUCUAAAUUUUAGAUAACAAAAAAAAAAAACGCAAAAAUAUGUACUCUCUAUUUUGUGCUAUAUUGUGUGGUCUACGGCCGCCGACCGAAUCCAUAUUGUUACAUUGUAGCAUACUGUAUAACAGAACUCGGAGCCAGCAGAAACGGAUGGAUAUUCGUGUCUUACUAAUAAAAGUUGUUACAGUGGCUUGUACAAGCAAAAAAUGGCAUAAAAUAAUUGAUUUAAACCUUAUGAUGAAAAGUUUUUGGGUUCUUUCAUUUUAUGAGCAACUAAUUAAAUUCUUGUGUUGCUAUUUGAAUAUCAUAAACAGAUACGUGUGAAUUUGGUGACUUCUUAAUAAAGCUUUUGCAUAGUCUUACAUGUGAAGAAAGACUUGUGAAAUUAUGGUGAAUAAUUUUAAGAAGUUUAUUGGAUUUGUCAAAAAAAGAGCAAGGAAAUCAAUACUUAUUUUGAUUUAUUUUUUCAAUGUAUAAAUACAAAUUAAUUUGGGGACUUUCUAAUAAAGCUUUUGCAUUCGCUUACAUGUGAACAAAGACUAGUAGAAUAAUGUUGAAUCAUUUUGAGAAGUCUUUUGGUUUUGUGAAAAAAGAGCAUAGAAAUCAAUACUUGAUUAUCUCAAUAAUACAAAUUGCUCUAUAGUUUCAAAAAAAAAAACUGAUUUUUGAAGGCAAUUUAUCGCAAUCUU
Rhopalosiphum maidis (corn leaf aphid) is the source of this 849-nucleotide long non-coding RNA. RefSeq lists it as uncharacterized. The transcript has 4 exons. The record is from RefSeq and is a predicted model, not a curated record. NCBI's taxonomy places the organism in Eukaryota, Metazoa, Arthropoda, Insecta, Hemiptera, Aphididae.